GUUGCUGGAAAACACUUUGGUGCUGUGCUGAGAUGUUCACAGGUACAGUGCCUUGAUAACUAGUUGCUGGUGUGCCGUGAGCGCAUCAUGGGGCCUGUGGGCACAUCACAGGGCUUGGUGGAGACUUAAUGGCCAAUCUUACAUUUUCAUUCCUGGCAGUGGAAACACAGGUUGUGCAGCGUUGGAUGAGCAUCUUUCCUCUCCGCAGUGCUGAGAGUCAGGAAGCUGCUCUGUGAAGGCCCAGAUCCAAAGAGAGCACAUGGAAAUUGAAGCCAUGUGGGACUUAACAAGAGAUCAAAUAGUGCCUUAAACAUCCCAGGGCAGCAGCCCUGUCCCCAGAGCCUGGGGCGGCCCCUGUGAUGGAGCCUGUCUUUCCUGGUGCUCUGAGUCCCUCCCCUCCCAGCCUGCUGCAGGGGCCCCUCCUGUUCCUGGACCUUGGAUCAGCUUAUUCACUGAUGACAACAGCGCUGAUGAAACAUUAAUUCAUGACCUCUGGAAUACGCACUCUUUAACACACGUAAGUGUGUGUAG
This 531-nucleotide long non-coding RNA is filed under the name Macaca mulatta (Rhesus monkey). Its description in RNAcentral is "lncRNA (ENSMMUG00000063171.1)". The record is from RNAcentral. Lineage: Eukaryota; Metazoa; Chordata; Mammalia; Primates; Cercopithecidae.